CAGAAAAUAAUAUAAUAAGUAUAAUAAUUUUGGAGAUUAUAAGUGAUAAAUUCUUUUCUGA
RNAcentral lists this transfer RNA (61 nucleotides) under Macrocheles muscaedomesticae. RNAcentral describes it as "tRNA-Pro". Lineage: Eukaryota; Metazoa; Arthropoda; Arachnida; Mesostigmata; Macrochelidae. The record is from RNAcentral.